Molecule: ribosomal RNA, 907 nt
Filed under: Patescibacteria group bacterium
Lineage: Bacteria
Description: bacterial SSU rRNA
Rfam family: Bacterial small subunit ribosomal RNA
Source: RNAcentral
UUAUUUGAGAGUUUGAUCCUGGCUCAGGGUGAACGCUGGCGGCAUGUCUAAGGCAUGCAAGUCGAAUGCUAAGUUUACUUAGCAUGGCAAACGGGAGAGUAACACAUUGGUAAUCUGCCUCUAUCUCAGGCAUAACCCUACGAAAGUGGGGAUAAUUCCUGAUAGUCAUGGGGGGACACAAGUCGUUCCCAUGUAAAACUCCGGUGGAUAGAGAGGAGCCUAUGGCCUAUCAGCUUGUUGGUGAGGUAAAAGCUCACCAAGGCAACGACAGGUAGCGGGUGUGAGAGCAUGGCCCGUCUCACUGGGACUGAGAACUGCCCAGACUCCUACGGGAGGCUGCAGUCAAGAAUCUUCCUCAAUGGACGAAAGUCUGAAGGAGCAAUGCCGCGUGAUCGAUGAAGCCCCUCGGGGUGUAAAGAUCUUUUAUCAGGGACGAAUCCGUGACGGUACCUGAAGAAUAAGUCACUGCUAACUUCGUGCCAGCAGCAGCGGUAAUACGAAGGUGGCGAGCGUUACCCGGAUUGACUGGGCGUAAAGCGUCCGCAGACGGACAACCAAGUCUUUGGUUAAAUCCUGAGGCUCAACCUCAGGACCGCUAAAGAUACUGUUUGUCUAGAGGCUGGGAGAGGCAAGCGGAAUUACUGGUGUAGUAGUAAAAUGCGUUAAUAUCAGUAAGAACACCAAAAGCGAAGGCAGCUUGCUAGAACAGUCCUGACGUUCAGGGACGAAAGCGUGGGGAGCGAAUGGGAUUAGAUACCCCAGUAGUCCACGCUGUAAACGUUGGAUACUAAAUAUUGGAAGUAUCGACCCUUCCAGUGUUGUUUACCUAAGCUAACGCCUUAAGUAUCCCGCCUGGGAAGUACGGCCGCAAGGCUAAAACUCAAAGGAAUUGACGGGAACCCGCACA